Molecule: ribosomal RNA, 468 nt
Filed under: uncultured bacterium
Lineage: Bacteria
Description: partial 16S ribosomal RNA
Rfam family: Bacterial small subunit ribosomal RNA
Source: RNAcentral
GACGAACGCUGGCGGCGUGCUUAACACAUGCAAGUCGAACGGAAAGGCCCUGCUUUUGUGGGGUGCUCGAGUGGCGAACGGGUGAGUAACACGUGAGUAACCUGCCCUUGACUUUGGGAUAACUUCAGGAAACUGGGGCUAAUACCGGAUAGGAGCUCCUGCUGCAUGGUGGGGGUUGGAAAGUUUCGGCGGUUGGGGAUGGACUCGCGGCUUAUCAGCUUGUUGGUGGGGUAGUGGCUUACCAAGGCUUUGACGGGUAGCCGGCAUGAGAGGGUGACCGGCCACAUUGGGACUGAGAGACGGCCCAGAAUCCUACGGGAGGCAGCAGUGGGGAAUAUUGCACAAUGGGCGGAAGCCUGAUGCAGCAACGCCGCGUGCGGGAUGACGGCCUUCGGGUUGUAAACCGCUUUCGCCUGUGACGAAGCGUGAGUGACGGUAAUGGGUAAAGAAGCACCGGCUAACUACGUG